UACGUAGGGUGCAGGCGUAAUCGGAAUUACUGGGCGUAAAGCGUGCGCAGGCGGUUUGCUAAGACAGGUGUGAAAUCCCCGGGCUAACCUGGGAACUGCGCUUGUAACUGGCAAGCUAGAGUGUGGCAGAGGGGGGUGGAAUUCCACGUGUAGCAGUGAAAUGCGGUAGAGAUGUGGAGGAACACCGAUGGCGAAGGCAGCCCCCUGGGCUAACACUGGAC
This 221-nucleotide ribosomal RNA is filed under the name uncultured bacterium. Its description in RNAcentral is "partial 16S ribosomal RNA". It matches the Rfam family "Bacterial small subunit ribosomal RNA", at positions 524 to 744 of the family's 1533-position model. The record is from RNAcentral.